GAUGAAGAACGCAGCGAAAGGCGAUAAGUAAUGUGAAUUACAGAAUUCAGUGAAUCAUCGAAUCUUUGAACGCACAUUGCGCCCGCCAGUAUUCUGGCGGGCAUGCCUGUUCGAGCGUCAUUACUACCCUCAGGCCCCCGGGCCUGGCGUUGGGGAUCGGCGGAGCCCCCCGUGGGCACACGCCGUCCCCCAAAUACAGUGGCGGUCCCGCCGCAGCUUCCAUCGCGUAGUAGCUAACACCUCGCGACUGGAGAGCGGCGCGGCCACGCCGUAAAACACCCAACUCUUCUGAAGUUGACCUCGAAUCAGGUAGGAAUACCCGCUGAACUUAAGCAUAUCAAUAAGCGGAGGA
This 352-nucleotide unclassified non-coding RNA is filed under the name soil metagenome. Its description in RNAcentral is "partial contains 5.8S ribosomal RNA, internal transcribed spacer 2, and large subunit ribosomal RNA". The stretch from base 1 to 120 matches the Rfam family "5.8S ribosomal RNA", at positions 35 to 154 of the family's 154-position model. The record is from RNAcentral.